This 323-nucleotide ribosomal RNA is filed under the name uncultured bacterium. Its description in RNAcentral is "bacterial SSU rRNA". It matches the Rfam family "Bacterial small subunit ribosomal RNA", at positions 28 to 334 of the family's 1533-position model. The record is from RNAcentral.
GAUGAACGCUAGCUACAGGCUUAACACAUGCAAGUCAAGCGAGAAAUUCAAGAUCAAAUCUUCGGGAGAGAGAUUGAAUGGAAAGCGGCGGACGGGUGAGUAACGCGUAGGUAACCUGCCCCAUACAGAGGGAUAGCCACUGGAAACGGUGAUUAAUACCUCAUAAUACCGGAUAUUCACAUGGAUAACCGGUCAAAGGUUUAUCGGUAUGGGAUGGACCUGCGUCUGAUUAGUUAGUUGGUGAGGUAACGGCUCACCAAGGCGACGAUCAGUAGCCGACCUGAGAGGGUGAUCGGCCACAUUGGAACUGAGACACGGUCCAA